AUUUUAAAGUAAACUAUCUUUCUCUUGAAUUAAAAGUUUGUUACUACAAGGUGAAAUUUUAGUCAAAAUUAUUAAUGUAAACUAAAACAAAUAUAUGAUAGAAAGAUUUCUGGGUGAAGAAUUUCUAGGACAAUAAGUAUUGUCAACACCAUGAACAUUAUUUGAAGAAUUAGUAUAGAACUUCAUGGUUGAUAACACAUCCUUUGAAUGAGUCUUAUAAGUAGUGUUGAUAUAAUUCAGGUAGUUAGAGCCUACUGAAUAUACAAAUUAAAUACUAUGAUUGUAAAGUACUGAUACAAUCAUCAUUAGUUGGUAUUAUGGUAUAGGAAUGUAAUUCAUGAAUACAAAUGACCUAAAGAUUUUAAGGUUGCUAGAAACCAUAUGAUUCAUGGAAAUCUAAUUGGACAGGAUAUUAUAGUAAUACAUGUAUUAGUACUUAAGUGAUAUCAGGUAAUGAGAAUGAAAAUACUAUGUUAUAUGUGUCUGUAGGAAUAUGAUAGUGAUACACAGUUAUUAUUUAGAAAGUUAUCAUCUUGAUUUUGUUAUCUACAAAGACAUGACUGUACCAGAGCAGGUAGAUCUUUCUAAUUGUUUUAUUGUUUAUUGGAUCAACAUUUGUAAAUAUUUUAUUUUAUUCAUUUAUUAUUGUUAAAUGUAUAUAUUAUGUUCAAGUAGUUAUGAUGUAACAUGGAUAUCAAUACAUAGCUGAAACAGAGGGAGUUUGAAGUAAAGUAAGCAGAAUGAGGGAUAGAAACUCGACCUUCUAAGAACUCUCAUAUAAUAGAAAGUUGUGACUACAUCUUGUUCUAUGCUCAAUGAAUGUGAUACAAGUGAUGUAUGAAAGGACAGGUUAGUGACAUUGUGUUAUGGUUUUAAAACAAACCAUAAACAGAGGGAAUGUAGAAUAUUGCAUAUUCUAUGUUUCUAUUGAUUAUAUAUAUGGAUGUGUGGAUUGACAUAAGUAACAGAUGGUAUCAAUAAGUCACAAGGCAUUCUUUGUCCGAGAGCUCUGGAAUGUGGAUGUGGGGGUCUUGUCCUUAUAUGGCUAGAGUUAAAUGCUGACGUUAGUAUGAGCACAUCUUUAUAGUAACAGAGGGACACAAGGUCGCUCUCUCUUGGCUCGUGGCUCUUGGCUCUGAGUUCUCUCUGGCUCUCUCUCUCGAUGUAAAGAUGUAAGGAUUUAAAGAAGUCCAGCAAUUACCAUCUGCUGUUGAAUGUACAUUAUCCUGUAACAUAAUUUAUUAUGUUUUAUUAUGUAUCUGUAACUAAGAAUAAACCUG
This is a non-coding RNA of Pelobates cultripes (western spadefoot toad), 1280 nucleotides long. The record is from the annotation of a GenBank genome assembly. Lineage: Eukaryota; Metazoa; Chordata; Amphibia; Anura; Pelobatidae.